This 289-nucleotide ribosomal RNA is filed under the name Acinetobacter baumannii. Its description in RNAcentral is "partial 23S ribosomal RNA". It matches the Rfam family "Bacterial large subunit ribosomal RNA", at positions 1 to 283 of the family's 2925-position model. Lineage: Bacteria; Pseudomonadati; Pseudomonadota; Gammaproteobacteria; Moraxellales; Moraxellaceae. The record is from RNAcentral.
GUUGUAUAGUCAAGUAAUUAAGUGCAUGUGGUGGAUGCCUUGGCAGUCAGAGGCGAUGAAAGACGUGAUAGCCUGCGAAAAGCUCCGGGGAGGCGGCAAAUAUCCUUUGAUCCGGAGAUGUCUGAAUGGGGGAACCCACCUACUUUAAGGUAGGUAUUGCAACAUGAAUACAUAGUGUUGCAAGGCGAACGAGGGGAAGUGAAACAUCUCAGUACCCUUAGGAAAAGAAAUCAAUUGAGAUUCCCUCAGUAGCGGCGAGCGAACGGGGAUCAGCCCAUUAAGUUAUGUG